This 494-nucleotide ribosomal RNA is filed under the name uncultured bacterium. Its description in RNAcentral is "partial 16S ribosomal RNA". It matches the Rfam family "Bacterial small subunit ribosomal RNA", at positions 28 to 507 of the family's 1533-position model. The record is from RNAcentral.
GACGAACGCUGGCGGCGUGCUUAACACAUGCAAGUCGAACGGAAAGGCCUGCUUUCCCUUGUGGAUUGCGGGUACUCGAGUGGCGAACGGGUGAGUAACACGUGAGUGAUCUGCCCCCAACUUGGGUAUAAGCCUGGGAAACUGGGUCUAAUUCCCGAUAGGACUGCAGGGUGGUGCCUGUGGUGGAAAACGAUUUUCUAGUGGUUGGGGAUGAGCUCGCGGCCUAUCAGCUUGUUGGUGGGGUAAUGGCCUACCAAGGCGGCGACGGGUAGCCGGCCUGAGAGGGUGGACGGCCACAUUGGGACUGAGAUACGGCCCAGACUCCGACGGGAGGCAGCAGUGGGGAAUAUUGCACAAUGGGCGGAAGCCUGAUGCAGCGACGCCGCGUGGGGGAUGACGGCCUUCGGGUUGUAAACUCCUUUCGACCGCGAGGAAGCCACCUGGUUGGAAGGGUGGUGACGGUAGUGGUAGAAGAAGCACCGACUAACUACGUG